UCGGUAUCCUCAUCUGUACUCGU
RNAcentral lists this microRNA (23 nucleotides) under Bombyx mori (domestic silkworm). RNAcentral's name for it is "bmo-miR-3411". Lineage: Eukaryota; Metazoa; Arthropoda; Insecta; Lepidoptera; Bombycidae. The record is from miRBase by way of RNAcentral.